Long non-coding RNA from Brachypodium distachyon (stiff brome), 1797 nucleotides. RefSeq lists it as uncharacterized. Lineage: Eukaryota; Viridiplantae; Streptophyta; Magnoliopsida; Poales; Poaceae. The record is from RefSeq and is a predicted model, not a curated record. The transcript is spliced from 2 exons.
GGAAGGGGGGGGGGGGGGGGCGCUUAUUGAGAUUGGCGAAGGGGGAGUUGAGCAUUGCAUCGUACCUAACUAGACGCAUCGAGUAGCUUGAGCUUCUUGUUCUUUCGAGCAUGUUUUUACCGUUAAUUAAGCAAUUUUCUUAACGAUUCCCCCGUCUAAAUCCCCUCGCAGCGUCAAUGGUGUGUGUGUGCAGCUUAGAUUUUCGAUCCCAUCAGGAUUGCCCCCAUUUUGUUGCUCGAGGAUGGCGCAGCGGGUUUUUUGGUGGGCAAAUUCACAUCCUAUCUCGUCCCUAUCUCAUUGUGUAGAACAUGGGGUGGUGGUGGGGGAGAGGCCCUCUAUGUUUUCUCUGGGGUUUGUCCGGGUUUUGCAAGGUGCAAAUCAUGUGCCAAUUUGUUGUCAAUUUGUUUGGAAUGUGUGUCGCCUAGUCCUGGGUGUUGGGUUUUCAUGUGGCUUCUCUUCAUAUUUUCGCCUUCCCCCAACAUGUGCAAGUUUCAGGCAAGUUUUUUUUAGUCCAACACGAGCUAACUCAGUUCAUAUUUUGUAGAUUUGUUAGGGUUUACAGGGGGUUGUAGGUGGUACAGAGUCUACACAUGGGUGUAGAUGUUAUAGAGCUUAUGUCAGGCGUCUAGAUUUGCUAGGGUCUGCAUUUUUCAAAUGUUGCCCAAACCUAGUUAUUGUUUCCUAGUUCAGAUUUUUUGCAUCCUAAAAACAAUUCAAUGAUGAGCUAACACAGUUCAUAUUGGAGAUGAUACAGUCAAUCUAAUGUGUGUGUUAGCAGGGUGUUUUGUUUCUGCAUUUUUGUAAGUUUUGCUUUAUGGGAUAUGGUCUAUAAGGGCUCUUUUUUUUGUUGUUUGGUCAUGUGUGUGUGUUCUCCGCAGCUGACAUCGUGCCCUGCAGCUUAUAUCAUGCAUUCAAACGAGGACAAAGUAGACAAAUCUGCAGUUUUAAUUCCUCGAUGAAGUAGACGAAAAUCACUUGGGUGGCAAGGUCUGCCAGCUGAAAAUGCAGGAGCAGCUAUCCAAGGGGCUAAGAAUGUGUUUUCUAUGCCUUUUUUUACAAGUGCCCGGGAACACCACGGUGCAGUGUAGGCGCCCCAGGGGCACAGGGCAAGAGUUUGCUUUGUAAGCUAUUUCUCUAUUCCCAUGUGAGCAAGUUCUAGCCAAUGUGCUAGCUCCACGUGAGCAAGUUCCAGCAAAGGCGUCCGCUCCAUGCGAGCAAGUCCUGCCAAAGGCGGCAGGCCCAUGCGAACAAGUUCAAGCCAAGGCACCAGCUCCUCUUCAGCACGUUCUAGCAAAGGCGCCAGCUGCGUGCGAGCAGUUAAAGCCAAGGCACCAGCUCCCUGUGAACAAGUUCGAGCAAAGGUGCAACCUGCGUGCGAGCAAGUUUUAGCCAAGGAGUAAGUUGCAUGCGAGCAAGUUCGGGCAAAGAUGCGAAGGUGCCAAAUUCAGCAGGCAACAAAAUCCUGUGUCAAAUGUGUGCUGGCAACGGAUGAAACUACUGCUUGUUUAGUUCAUAGUUUGCUUUCAAUGGGUUGCUGAAAACUAAAAAAUCUAGCAGUAGUGCACAAUUUUUUGGGGAUUCAGCAUGUGUAUGCUCGCAGCUAUUUUUUCUGGACGAAACUACAUUACUUCUUGUAUGCAUCAGAACUACUGCUUGUUUAGUUUUCGUAGUUGACAGGUUCAGAGUUUGCUUUUCAAUUUGUUGCGGGGGACCAAAAGCCUAAAAAUGAUCUGUACAUGUGCUCUUACCUUUGUGAAGUUAUAUCUUACAUAAUAGGUUCGGAGUUGCUUUUUGGUA